GCACCCUGGGGACAUUGGGGACGCCUCAACAGCACCCUGGGGACCUUGGGGACACGUCCUCAGCACCCUGGGGACACGUCCUCAGCACCCAAGGGACAUUAGGGACACCUCCCUGACACCCUGAGGACCUUGGGGACACCUCAGCAGCACCCAGGGGACUGUAGGGACAACCUGAGGACCUUGGGGACACCUCCCUGCACCCUGGGGACCUUGGGGACACCUCAACAGCACCCAGGGAUCUGUGGGGACACCCAGGGGACCUUGGGGACAUGUCCCCAGCACCCAGGGGACCUUGAGGAAACCGUUCGGGCACCCUGGGGACCUUGGGGACACCUCAACAGCACCCAGGGAUCUGUGGGCACAGCCAGGGGACCUUGGGGACAUGUCCCCAGCACCCAAGGGACAUUGGGGACACCUCCCUGGCACCCUGAAGACCACAGAGAGACCUCAGCAGCACCCUGGGGACCACGGGGACACCUCAACAGCACCCAGGGGACUGCGGGGACCCCCAGGAGACUGCGGGGACCCCCAGGGG
This 535-nucleotide long non-coding RNA is filed under the name Anas platyrhynchos platyrhynchos (common mallard). Its description in RNAcentral is "lncRNA (ENSAPLG00000026896.1)". Lineage: Eukaryota; Metazoa; Chordata; Aves; Anseriformes; Anatidae. The record is from RNAcentral.